UGGGGAAUAUUGCACAAUGGGGGAAACCCUGAUGCAGCGACGCCGCGUGAGCGAAGAAGACCUUCGGGUCGUAAAGCUCUUUUAUAUGGGAAGAUAAUGACGGUACCAUAAGAAAAAGCCCCGGCUAACUACGUGCCAGCAGCCGCGGUAAUACGUAAGGUCCGAGCGUUGUCCGGAAUCAUUGGGCGUAAAGGGUACGUAGGCGGAUAAGCAAGUUAGAAGUGAAAUCCUAUAGCUCAACUAUAGUAAGCUUUUAAAACUGCUCAUCUUGAGGUAUGGAAGGGAAAGUGGAAUUCCUAGUGUAGCGGUGAAAUGCGCAGAUAUUAGGAGGAAUACCGGUGGCGAAGGCGACUUUCUGGCCAUAAACUGACGCUGAGGUACGAAAGCGUGGGUAGCAAACAGG
Molecule: ribosomal RNA, 403 nt
Filed under: Verrucomicrobiota bacterium
Lineage: Bacteria; Pseudomonadati; Verrucomicrobiota
Description: Verrucomicrobia bacterium partial 16S ribosomal RNA
Rfam family: Bacterial small subunit ribosomal RNA
Source: RNAcentral